Molecule: ribosomal RNA, 301 nt
Filed under: uncultured bacterium
Lineage: Bacteria
Description: partial 16S ribosomal RNA
Rfam family: Bacterial small subunit ribosomal RNA
Source: RNAcentral
CAGUCGCCACGGUAAUACAGAGGGUGCGAGCGUUAAUCGGAUUUACUGGGCGUAAAGCGUGCGUAGGCGGCUUCUUAAGUCGGAUGUGAAAUCCCUGAGCUUAACUUAGGAAUUGCAUUCGAUACUGGGAAGCUAGAGUAUGGGAGAGGAUGGUAGAAUUCCAGGUGUAGCGGUGAAAUGCGUAGAGAUCUGGAGGAAUACCGAUGGCGAAGGCAGCCAUCUGGCCUAAUACUGACGCUGAGGUACGAAAGCAUGGGGAGCAAACAGGAUUAGAUACCCCAGUAGUCCCUGUCUCUUAUAU